This is a long non-coding RNA of Psammomys obesus (fat sand rat), 2989 nucleotides long. RefSeq lists it as uncharacterized. The record is from RefSeq and is a predicted model, not a curated record. Lineage: Eukaryota; Metazoa; Chordata; Mammalia; Rodentia; Muridae. The transcript is spliced from 3 exons.
UAUGUCCCAGUCUUUAUGGAGGUAGCAAAUCACAGUGAGGCCUCUGCUCACCUGUCCGAACCAGAGGGGAACCUCUGCAGAAAGGAAACCUGGGGGCUUUGGGGACUGUUUCCCCCUUCAGUCAUUAUGCAAAUGCCACCUCCUUCAGUGCUGGUGUCUGUUCCCUUCGAGGUCUCCUGAGUGAAUCUCUGAGGGCAGGAUCAACACCCUAGCUCUAGCCUUUUGUGCUUCAUGUAAUAAAAACAUGUAAAAAUAGCUAUCUGCUAUCAGUAGCAUGGCUUGUGUGUCAAUGGACAUAAAAUUUAGAGUCAAGUACAUUUAGAAUUUCAGCCCACUGUUCCCUGGGCCUCCUGGCUAUUUCCAAUGAAAGCUUUGCCUGGCCCUGGAAUUUUCCCUAUUUAACACAAGCUAGUAUUUCUAAAGAUAUAAAAUCAUUCUUCAUUCACUUCAUUAUUCAUUCAUUCAUUUUUUUUCUUGCAAAAGUCUUUAGCAUUCAGGAAACUAUCGUUUAGGCUUUGUAUCCCACAGGGCACCAGGGUUUGUGGAAAUAUCUAAAUGGAGACAAGGAAACGGUACCUCAUGAGUGGCACAAGUGUGCCUUUAUCAUUGUAGUUACCAUAGUUACAACAGGAACCGCUAUGGGAUGUACUCUCUCCUGUAAACACUGGGCCAGUCUUGUGUAAUUUAGGAUCAUUAGGGUAAAUAGUCCAUCAGCUCUCUGCAGGCCUUCCUCAUGGCUGCUAUGAGUUUAAACGUGUAACAAAGGGAUGAAGGAGCAGUAGAUGAUUGGUUCAGACCCAGGAAAGCAGUUAGUAAACCUUAGUCUCAGAACCUGCUAAACUUCUAGUCUUUAAAUUAUUCAUCCUCCCACUUAGCAAGGUAUUGAAGUUAAUAGCUAUAGGUAAUGUUACUUGAGGCACAGCAUUCUAGAAAUGUCUGUAACUUUGGACUUUCUUAGGCUGGGUUUACACAGAGCUACUGAGAAGAUGGCCUCCGAGCUGCCCUGAGGUAUACACAGCAGUGGGCUUCUCAAAUUUAGCUCUCUGAGCAUAAAGGAAUUUGGCGUGACCUAUGUUUGGGAGUUUGAAUUUCUCUCACACCUGCCCUAUGUUAGUAUUCUUUAGUGGCUUGUGUCAUUUACUUUGGGGACAGCUAUAUCACGUAUUUUGUGAUUGUGAAAGAUACCACGGCCAAAAGCGACUUACAGAAGGAGUUUGUUUUGGCUUAUGGUUCCAGAAGGAUGAGGAUCUAUCACAGUGGGGAAUCACAGCAGCAAGCAGCAGGCAUGGCAGGAGGAGAAGUAAGCUGCCUACACCUUAACCAUGAGCUCAAGCAGAGAAAGUGAACUGAGAGUAGGCUAAGGCUGUACACUCUCAACUCUUUUUUUUUUUUUCCUUUUUCUUUUUAGUGACACAUUUCCUCUUAAGAGUUGUAUAACAUCUCCAAACAGCAUCACCAACUGGGGACAAAGCAAGCCUUUGGGGGAGACUUCUCGUUAAAACCACAGCGGUGGUGCAGCUGGUGAUUUGGGUCACUGUUUUCACACAUCUGUUCUGCAAACUCUUGCUCCAGGUGUUUCACCUUUGUGUCAUUGCGACGCUCUCUCAGCUCUGCAUGCCUCAGCCCACCCUGGACCACAGCGAGGUGCUUCUUAAGGUUCAGUAGGAUCAUGUCUUUCCAUUGACCAACACAUUUCUUUGACUUUCUUUCUCUUAAUAUCAUUUUCUCUGCCAAACUGACAGCUCCUAAUUAGAUUGACCAUAAGGAUAUACAGUCAAUAUGUACAACAUUCAAGACAUUUCCCCUCAUUCCUACAACUCACUCCUUUGCUCACACUCAUGAACAGUGGCCAGACUUCCCUGAACAUGCCAAGGACAUGUCUGAGGACGGAUUCCUUGGAGAUCUCUGACCUAGAAUAUCAGCCUCCUUCUUUCCCACCGUUUUCUCCUACCCAUCCCAUUUUCCUUUCAUGGUCAUUAACAGCAAAUUCCUCCUCUCUCUGAAUAUUUCCUGAUCACCGUUAGAGGAGGUGUGGCCUUGAUGGAGGAGUUGAGUCAUUGGAGGGGGGGUGGGAGAGGUAUACUUUGCAGUUUCAAAGCCUCAUGCAUUUUACUUGGCUCUCUCACUCUGCCUUGUUUUUUGUCAUCUCAUUGUGUAAGCUCUCAACGACUUCUCCAGGCCAGGUCUGCCCUCGGGCUGCCUCUCUUCCCACCGUGACUGUCACGCCUCAGAGCAUCCCCUGUUUCCUCGGCCAAGGAUAGAGGGAAAUGCUCUGGAUUCAAGACACAGCUUCCUUAUGCAAGGCGUGGAAGUGAUUUUGCACAGUCUCCCACUACAGAACAGCUCGUCACUGCCACCAUGUUUACACAGAGGAGCAUGCCACCUUCGGAAAAGCACACCUAGCUGACCGUGAUGUUCUUGAAAAGUCACUGCUGACAUGCCACUGUGUUUAAAGAAAUGCCGGGCCUUUUAAUACUAGGGGAAUAAAAAGAUACCGUGAUGAAACAUAUCAUGGAGCCGCACCAGGAAAGCUGUGCUGGUUACUGCAGGACUGAGAGAAUCAUCCUCAUUGCUGACCCACAGAAAGGCUGUUGAAGGCGAGGAGAGGCUGGAAAUGCAUGUGUUCCAGAUGGAAACAGCAAGUGGACCAAACACUGUGAAGGGUCUGGCAGCUCCUGGAGUGGUCAGAAUUAACUCACGACCCACCCCUACUAUCCAGUGAAACAAACCCAAGAAUAAUGAGCACAUGUGUCAACAUGCAAACUUGCACUUGGAUGUUAGUAGGGGAAUCCUUACUCAGAGAAAUGAGCGUGCAGGAAGAACCCAGCAUCUACCACUGGGUUAUUUGGCAACGGGUGAAGUAGUGGGAUACGGCUACAGGCUACAAUGCCGGUGAACUUUGAAAACCUUAACUGGAAGAGGCCAGUUACGGAGGGCUACAGAUUUCACCAUCUCAAAGUGGUUCCUGAGGGUGACUGAGGAAGGAGGA